This 253-nucleotide ribosomal RNA is filed under the name uncultured prokaryote. RNAcentral's name for it is "partial 16S ribosomal RNA". It matches the Rfam family "Bacterial small subunit ribosomal RNA", at positions 525 to 777 of the family's 1533-position model. The record is from RNAcentral.
ACGAAGGGGGCUAGCGUUGCUCGGAAUUACUGGGCGUAAAGGGCGCGUAGGCGGACAGUUAAGUCAGAGGUGAAAGCCCAGGGCUCAACCCUGGAAUAGCCUUUGAUACUGGCUGUCUUGAGUGCGGGAGAGGUGUGUGGAACUCCGAGUGUAGAGGUGAAAUGCGUAGAUAUCAGGAGGAACACCGGUGGCGAAAGCGCGAUACUGGGCCAUAACUGACGCUGAGGAACGAAAGCCAGGGGAGCGAGAGGGA